UAUACAUAGUUACAUGUACCCCAAACAAAACAUCACUGUCAUUCAAACAAUUUAGCAAUGUUUGUAAUAGAAAAUGUGAUAACUCGAUUAUUGAUCCCAGAUGUGACGUUUUCUGCUUUCCUGUUUGCAUUUUGUCUUGUUCAGGUCGAUCGGUGGAGGAGGUGGUCUGGAAAAUGGCUGACGGAGUUGAUCACAUCGACAUCUACGCCGAUGUUGAAGAGGAUUUCAACCAGGAAUCAGACUACCCCGCCCAUGACCAGAUAGACUUGUAUGACGAUGUUAUCUCUCCUUCGGCCAAUAAUAACGGAGACGCACCUGAGGACCGGGACUACCUGGACAACCUACCCCCACCUGCUGGCUCCGAGGGGAACAAGAGCACCCCGCCCAACGUGGUGUACACGUACACUGGCAAGAGGAUCGCCCUGUACAUAGGCAAUCUCACAUGGUGGACAACAGACGAAGAUUUGACAGACGCCAUUGGAUCAAUAGGCAUUAAGGAUUUGCUGGAGAUCAAGUUCUUUGAGAACAGAGCCAACGGGCAGAGUAAAGGGUUUGCCCUGGUGUGUGUGGGCUCAGACGCGUCCUCUAGGAAGCUACUGGACCUGCUGGCUAAACGGGAGCUACACGGACAGAACCCCAUUGUUACCCCCUGCAACAAGCAGUCCCUCAGCCAGUUCGAGAUGCAGUCUCGGAAAAGUACAUCGGGUGGGCAGAUGUCCGGCGAUGGGAAGGCGGGACCCCCCACCAUGGGCCCCCGCGGUGGCUUCCCCAUGGGCAUGGGUAGAGGCCGAGGCCGCUUCCCUGGCCCUCCUGGCCCUGGAGGAGACCGGUUCCCUGGGCCCAUCGGACCCGGAGGGCCACCGCCACACUUCCCAGGUGGUAUGCAGGGCCCACCUCGACCCCCUCCUGGCCCACUAGGUCCCCCUGGACCCCUAGGCCCCCCUCCCCCAGGACAGGGCCUCCCCCCUCCCAUGCAAGGCCCCCCCAACCGUGGUGACCGCCCACCACCCCGGUCAUGUUCCCCGGCCAGUUUGGCCAGCCCCCAUGGGUCCUCUCCCCCUGGCCCUCCCCCCACACGGCUUCGGCCCUCCUCCUGGCCCCCCCCCCCCCAACAGGGCCCUCCACCCCCUGGUCAUUUUCCUCCUCGCCCCCCUGGUCCCCUUGGACCGCCUCUGGCCCUCGCUCCCCCACCACACAUGACCGGGCCCCGACCUGGAGGUCCCCCACCGGCUCCCCAUGUCAACCCAGCGUUCUUCCCUCCUCCUGGGGGUCCUAACAACAUGGGGGGCCCUCCUGGAGGGGACGGCAGGGGCCCCAACGGGCCCAACGACCCCUAUGGACGGCCACCUCCAUAUGACCGGGGAGACUUCGGACCCGCCGGCAGGGAGAUGGAGUCGGCGCGGACACCGCUGAGCGAGGCAGAGUUUGAGGAGAUCAUGAACCGGAACCGAGCCAUCUCCAGUAGUGCCAUCUCUAGGGCGGUGUCAGAUGCUAGCGCUGCUGACUAUGGCAGUGCCAUAGAGACUCUGGUGACAGCCAUCUCUCUGAUCAAGCAGUCUAAGGUAUCUGCUGACGACCGCUGCAAAGUUCUCAUCAGCUCUCUGCAGGACUGUCUCCACGGCAUCGAGAACAAGUCCUACGGCUCUGCCUCCAGACGCGAGAGGUCGAGGGAGCGUGACCACAGCCGAUCCCGGGAGAAGAGCCGGCGCCACAAGUCCCGUAGCCGCGACCGCCACGAGGACUACUACCGCGAACGCAGCCGGGAGCGAGAACGGCACCGCGGGGACAGAGAACGUGAACGCGAAAGAGACCGUGAGAGGGAGUACCGACAUCGUUAGGGGAGCCUACGGAAGAGGACAGGGACGAGGACGCCUCGUCACAACCAGCAGGCCCUACUUCAGGAUCGCCUUGUCAACUAGCCCCCCCCUCUGUCUGUGUCUCCAUGGUUUCCAGGGGACUGACUACCUGGGAAUCGCUCACAGCUGUGUAAGGUUAUAAGUAGUGUUCUUUAAAAUCAUACUCAUGGUAUAUAAAAAAAACUACUCAACAGCUAUUUUUAUUUUUACUGAAAUUUUAUUUGAUGUGAACGAAAAAAUGAUUACCUACCUGUGUUGACAGGCUUCUUCAAGCUUUGCGAAAAUAACAAAUGACUACAUUUGCCUGCUCUAUUCCAAAACGGACAGCUUUUGACUGCUAUAAUGUGUACAUUUUGUCAGGUUAGAGUUGAUUUUACAGGAGGUUUUUUUUUUCUUUGGUUUUUCAUCUUUAUUUCCUCUCGUGCCCCUCCCUACUUUCCUCGUUAGGAUAAUGUUUGUAAAUGUCUCUGCUUUGAAUAUUAAAAUAGAUUCUGUGUUGUAAUAAACUGUUUACUGGGGUUUUGACACUUAAUAAUAAUUUACAUGUGUACGUUUUUGCCUGCAUACAUUUUUCAUGUUGAAUUUUACGAAAUAGUUAUUUUAAAUUUACUCUCACUUAAAUUGCGAUGUUGUGCUGUUAUUGACCAAAUUUAAGCACAGUUGACCAAAAGGUUGUAUUUGUCCUGAUGCCCAGAAUUAGUGAAAUCUGACUGAAUUUAGCAUAGCUACUUUUGCAUUGAAUGAUCAUGUGACAGAUAUUUUCAACUUUGACUUAUUAGUUUGUUCUAAAAGUUCUAGUUAAAAUGUAGCUAGUUGUUUGGCGAACAUUUUGUUUUUAGUCUCCGUAUACUACUGUAUGCCAUUUGAAUACCAAAAGUGAAAAUCCAUGUCUUGGCUAACUGAUUUUAGAGGUAUUCAGGACUUGAUUAUACUUGGGCAAACAUUUUUUAGUUUUAUUAUUUUUUUAUUUCUUGAUUAUUUUUUUUCAUGUUACCAGGAAGUACAUUCCAAGGGUUCAUUACCCUAAUAUUAAUGACACAAGUAGAACAAAUGAUUGAGUUAUAUGGAAUUAUUUUAGUGAUAGUUGAUGCAAACUUCACAGAUCUGGACAAUACUACUACUACUUCUGUGAACAGAAUUAGUCCCUUAUCUGCAAACUUGUGCUCCGAUUGGCUGGCUGAUGUACUGCACUGAUUUCUUAUUGAGGUGCUUGUCUCACUGGUUUCGCCCAGUGAGGGUUGUGGUAGCCUGGUCCCAGAUCUCUAUAUAUUUUGGCCGAGUCUUGACUUGUUGUCCAGCCUACAUUGAAUAGCAAUAACAUUGCUAGCCAGAGUAGUUGGUUAAAACGCAUACAGACCUGAGCGGUAUACUACAAAGCAGGACCAAUGUGUUAGCCAGCUAAUUUGCUUAAAUAUUCUGAAUUAACUUUUAGAUUUUUUUGGAAUAGAAGCUUGACUCAACUUAAAAACACAUGUCUAAGUUCAACUUUCUUAAUGAACGAGAAAAUGAAAUGUUAUUUCUGGUUGUUUAUCAAAGUUAGCUGGCUAAUGCAUUGAUCCUGUUUUGUACGAUCCCCUUCUGGGACCAAGCCAAAGGGCUGGGUGUAGUAAAUGGAUGGGGAUUACAGUAGUGAGGUUCUGGGAUAAGGCUGAGGGGCUAGGUGUAGUAAAUGGAUGGGGAUUACAGUAGUGAGGGUCUGAGACCAGGCCAAGGGACUGGGUGUCGUAAAUGGAUAGGGAUUACAGUAGUGAGGUUCUGGGACAAGGCCAAGGGGCUGGGUGUUGUAAAUGGAUGGGGAAUUACAGUAAUAAGAGUAUUCAAGUGAGGUGUCCAUUUUGUAAAGUAUGAGAGCACAAUCCUUCCCUAGUUUCUCAGGGUCUGUGCACUGACUGGUCUGCCAGAUUGAAAUAACUGAUAUUGAUGCCUGUUUUAAGGCGGUAAUGCCUACCUCCCUCUUUACUCCCAUGUAUUUUCUACAUGGCCCUGAUAGACUUAGGUGGUGCUCUCCUGCUUGCAUUGCGUUGCCACUUUAAAGAUAGUUAUUUAGUUGGUUAUUGUGGCUUCCAUCAUUCACUGAAACCACUGCUUCAGUCAACUUAACAUUUUUUACAUUUUACUGGUUAGACUUUACAUCCAACUAUUGGCACAUAAAACUCCAAGUUUUUAAUCAAUAUUGCCCACUAGCUACAAAGAGCAUUUUGAGCACUUUACAAUGUGUUUGACAUGGAAUGUUAUUGGAUGGAACUUUAGUAAAGUACUCCUUCAGGUAAAGUUUGCAUGACAAACACUUUCUUUUAUACGUGGGACUUUUGUAUUUCAUUUAUUGUAUAAAUGCACUGAGAUAUUUAAUAUGUUGUAAAGCAUUCAUAAUGCUCUAUGUAGCUAUUAUACCAUGUUUAUUGUGCUAAUGGUUGGUUAUGAAUGCCUUGUUACCUAUUCGCUGAUCAUUACGAAUUGCUUUCUAGCCCAAAGUCUUUUCAAACCGGUUGAAUAUUUGAGUGGAGCUGAUUUGAAACUGGUUUGAUACGUCAAUACUGUACAUAUACGCAGUCGACAAGUGUUACCUAUACUCAAUUAGUGUUUUGUCAUUUUGUACAUAUAAUGCAUCCAUCUUAGAUAUUACCUUGGAAUACUUUUUACAAUCAGAUCCAAGGUUUUACACGAUCAAUUUCGCUCUCGGACGUGUUCAGGAAAUGGAACUUUCUUAAGGUGCACUGUCUUGUUUUGAGUGUUUUCAAUAAACUAGUUUUCUCCGUC
Molecule: non-coding RNA, 4613 nt
Organism: Salmo salar (Atlantic salmon)
Lineage: Eukaryota; Metazoa; Chordata; Actinopteri; Salmoniformes; Salmonidae
Source: RefSeq, a predicted model, not a curated record